UACGAAGGGGGCUAGCGUUGUUCGGAAUUACUGGGCGUAAAGCGUGCGCAGGUGGCCAUCCAAGUCAGUGGUGAAAGCCCGGAGCUCAACUCCGGAAUUGCCAUUGAAACUGUUUGGCUCGAGUACGAGAGAGGUGAGUGGAAUUCCCAGUGUAGAGGUGAAAUUCGUAGAUAUUGGGAAGAACACCGAUGGCGAAGGCGGCUCGCUGGCUCGUAACUGACACUCAUGCACGACAGCGUGGGGAUCAAACAGG
RNAcentral lists this ribosomal RNA (253 nucleotides) under uncultured bacterium. Its description in RNAcentral is "partial 16S ribosomal RNA". It matches the Rfam family "Bacterial small subunit ribosomal RNA", at positions 524 to 776 of the family's 1533-position model. The record is from RNAcentral.